This 57-nucleotide small nuclear RNA is filed under the name Oncorhynchus kisutch (coho salmon). Its description in RNAcentral is "U7 small nuclear RNA (ENSOKIG00005033229.1)". It matches the Rfam family "U7 small nuclear RNA". From Rfam's summary of the family: Animal histone pre-mRNAs are spliced by a different mechanism than nuclear pre-mRNAs and self-splicing introns. This processing involves the U7 snRNP, which contains only one RNA species: U7. The 5' end of U7 RNA is thought to base-pair to a conserved spacer element downstream of the cleavage site in histone pre-mRNA. Lineage: Eukaryota; Metazoa; Chordata; Actinopteri; Salmoniformes; Salmonidae. The record is from Rfam by way of RNAcentral.
AAGAGCAGAAGGUUUUUUAGUAUUUCUCCAGUAGGUUUCCUCAAGGAGAAAGCCCCC